This 480-nucleotide ribosomal RNA is filed under the name uncultured bacterium. Its description in RNAcentral is "partial 16S ribosomal RNA". It matches the Rfam family "Bacterial small subunit ribosomal RNA", at positions 28 to 507 of the family's 1533-position model. The record is from RNAcentral.
GACGAACGCUGGCGGCGUGCUUAACACAUGCAAGUCGAACGAUGAAGAAAAGAAUUGAAGCUUCGGCAGAAAUUCAUUUCGGAUUAGUGGCAGACGGGUGAGUAACGCGUGAGCAACCUACCUCUUACAAAGGGAUAGCCUCGGGAAACCGGGAUUAAUACCAUAUAACAUUGCGACGAAGCAUUUCGAUGCAAUCAAAGCUACGGCGGUAAGAGAUAGGCUCGCGUCCCAUUAACCAGAUGGUGAGGUAACGGCUCACCAUAGUAACGAUGGGUAACCGGCCUGAGAGGGUGAACGGUCACACUGGAACUGAGACACGGUCCAGACUCCUACGGGAGGCAGCAGUGGGGAAUAUUGCACAAUGGAGGGAACUCUGAUGCAGCGACGCCGCGUGAGUGAUGAAGGAAUUCGUUUCGUAAAACUCUGUUCUAUGGGAAGAAAAGGACUGUACCAUAGGAGAAAGCUCCGGCUAAAUACGUG